This 253-nucleotide ribosomal RNA is filed under the name uncultured bacterium. RNAcentral describes it as "partial 16S ribosomal RNA". It matches the Rfam family "Bacterial small subunit ribosomal RNA", at positions 524 to 776 of the family's 1533-position model. The record is from RNAcentral.
UACGUAGGUGGCAAGCGUUGUCCGGAUUUACUGGGCGUAAAGAGUGCGUAGGCGGUUUUCUAAGUUUGGUGUGAAAUCUCCCGGCUUAACUGGGAGGGUGCGCCGAAAACUGGAAGGCUUGAGUAUGGGAGAGGUAAGCGGAAUUCCUGGUGUAGCGGUGAAAUGCGUAGAUAUCAGGAGGAACACCUGCGGUGUAGACGGCUUACUGGACCAUAACUGACGCUGAGGCACGAAAGCGUGGGUAGCAAACAGG